This 97-nucleotide ribosomal RNA is filed under the name Bacteroidetes bacterium 4572_128. The record is from RNAcentral. Lineage: Bacteria; Pseudomonadati; Bacteroidota.
GGUGUUGAGGUACACCUCUUUACAUACCGAACAGAGAAGUUAAGCUCAAUUACGCCGAUGGUACUGCUGGAAAGUGGGAGAGUAGGUUUCGCCGAAU